CCAAUAGCGUAUAUUAAAGUUGUUGCAGUUAAAAAGCUCGUAGUUGAAUUUCGGGAUCAAUAUGUCGGUCGUGCCUUCGGUACGUACUGGCAUCAUUGGUUUCUCCCUUCUGACAAACCAUGAUGUCAUUAAUUUGGUGUUAUGGGGAGUUAGGACUGUUACUUUGAAAAAAUUAGAGUGUUUAAAGCAGGCAUUAGCUUGAAUACAUUAGCAUGGAAUAAUGAAAUAGGACGUUUGACCCUAUUUUGUUGGUUUCUAGGAUCAACGUAAUGAUUAAUAGGGAUAGUUGGGGGCAUUAGUAUUCAAUUGUCAGAGGUGAAAUUCUUGGAUUUAUUGAAGACUAACUACUGCGAAAGCAUUUGCCAAGGAUGUUUUCAUUAAUCAAGAACGAAAGUUAGGGGAUCGAAGACGAUCAGAUACCGUCGUAGUCUUAACCAUAAACUAUGCCGACUAGGGAUCGGAUGAUGU
RNAcentral lists this ribosomal RNA (468 nucleotides) under uncultured Glomus. Its description in RNAcentral is "SSU rRNA". It matches the Rfam family "Eukaryotic small subunit ribosomal RNA", at positions 591 to 1063 of the family's 1831-position model. Lineage: Eukaryota; Fungi; Glomeromycota; Glomeromycetes; Glomerales; Glomeraceae. The record is from RNAcentral.